RNAcentral lists this ribosomal RNA (482 nucleotides) under uncultured bacterium. Its description in RNAcentral is "bacterial SSU rRNA". It matches the Rfam family "Bacterial small subunit ribosomal RNA", at positions 29 to 506 of the family's 1533-position model. The record is from RNAcentral.
AUGAACGCUAGCGGCAGGCUUAACACAUGCAAGUCGAACGGUAACAGGGUAGCAAUACCGCUGACGAGUGGCGCACGGGUGCGUAACACGUAUGCAACUUACCCGCAACUGGGGCAUAGCCCGGAGAAAUCCGGAUUAACUCCCCAUAAAACAGGGAUACCACAUGGUAAUAUUUGUUAAAAUUCAGGUGGUUGCGGAUAGGCAUGCGGCCCAUUAGCUAGUUGGUAAGGUAACGGCUUACCAAGGCAACGAUGGGUAGGGGGUCUGAGAGGACGAUCCCCCACACGGGUACUGAGACACGGACCCGACUCCUACGGGAGGCAGCAGUGAGGAAUAUUGGACAAUGGAGGCAACUCUGAUCCAGCCAUGCCGCGUGAAGGAUGAAGGCGCUAUGCGUUGUAAACUUCUUUUCUACGGGAAGAAAAAGUCCGACUCGUUCGGAUACUGACGGUACUGUAGGAAUAAGCAUCGGCUAACUCCGU